This 829-nucleotide ribosomal RNA is filed under the name Nocardioides sp. PAP2-1_Pa. RNAcentral's name for it is "bacterial SSU rRNA". It matches the Rfam family "Bacterial small subunit ribosomal RNA", at positions 49 to 896 of the family's 1533-position model. Lineage: Bacteria; Bacillati; Actinomycetota; Actinomycetes; Propionibacteriales; Nocardioidaceae. The record is from RNAcentral.
UUACCAUGCAGUCGAGCGGUAAGGCCCUUCGGGGUACACGAGCGGCGAACGGGUGAGUAACACGUGGGUGAUCUGCCCUGCACUUCGGGAUAAGCCUGGGAAACUGGGUCUAAUACCGGAUAUGACCUCCGAUCGCAUGGUUGGUGGUGGAAAGAUUUAUCGGUGCAGGAUGGGCCCGCGGCCUAUCAGCUUGUUGGUGGGGUAAUGGCCUACCAAGGCGACGACGGGUAGCCGACCUGAGAGGGUGACCGGCCACACUGGGACUGAGACACGGCCCAGACUCCUACGGGAGGCAGCAGUGGGGAAUAUUGCACAAUGGGCGAAAGCCUGAUGCAGCGACGCCGCGUGAGGGACGACGGCCUUCGGGUUGUAAACCUCUUUCAGCAGGGACGAAGCGCAAGUGACGGUACCUGCAGAAGAAGCACCGGCUAACUACGUGCCAGCAGCCGCGGUAAUACGUAGGGUGCAAGCGUUGUCCGGAAUUACUGGGCGUAAAGAGUUCGUAGGCGGUUUGUCACGUCGUUUGUGAAAACUCACAGCUCAACUGUGAGCCUGCAGGCGAUACGGGCAGACUUGAGUACUGCAGGGGAGACUGGAAUUCCUGGUGUAGCGGUGAAAUGCGCAGAUAUCAGGAGGAACACCGGUGGCGAAGGCGGGUCUCUGGGCAGUAACUGACGCUGAGGAACGAAAGCGUGGGUAGCGAACAGGAUUAGAUACCCUGGUAGUCCACGCCGUAAACGGUGGGCGCUAGGUGUGGGUUCCUUCCACGGAAUCCGUGCCGUAGCUAACGCAUUAAGCGCCCCGCCUGGGGAGUACGGCCGCAAGGCUA